UACAGAGGUCCCAAGCGUUGUUCGGAUUCAUUGGGCGUAAAGGGCGCGUAGGCAGCCUGCUAAGUCGGACGUGAAAUCCCUCGGCUCAACCGAGGAACUGCGUCCGAUACUGGUGGGCUUGAAUCCGGGAGAGGGAUGUGGAAUUCCAGGUGUAGCGGUGAAAUGCGUAGAUAUCUGGAGGAACACCGGUGGCGAAGGCGGCAUCCUGGACCGGUAUUGACGCUGAGGCGCGAAAGCUAGGGGAGCAAACGGG
Molecule: ribosomal RNA, 253 nt
Filed under: uncultured bacterium
Lineage: Bacteria
Description: partial 16S ribosomal RNA
Rfam family: Bacterial small subunit ribosomal RNA
Source: RNAcentral